This is a non-coding RNA of Exserohilum turcica Et28A, 88 nucleotides long. Lineage: Eukaryota; Fungi; Ascomycota; Dothideomycetes; Pleosporales; Pleosporaceae. The record is from the annotation of a RefSeq genome assembly.
UCCGGUAUGGUGUAUCGGCUAGCAUCCGUCGCUUUCAUUUCUAAUGUCAGCGCCCGACGAGAGCCGGGUUCGACUCCCGGUACCGGAA